This 234-nucleotide long non-coding RNA is filed under the name Prunus persica (peach). RNAcentral describes it as "long non-coding RNA (PPER_LNC000733)". The record is from RNAcentral. Lineage: Eukaryota; Viridiplantae; Streptophyta; Magnoliopsida; Rosales; Rosaceae.
UCCUUCCUACGGGUUCAACGAAGCUCGAAUACAUGUUUAAGCAAUUAAAAUAUUUAAUUAAUAGAAUAGCUCAACCACAAAUAUUUACUCAAAACCCGGACCCCCAGCCUUAAAAGUGCGUGUACGUAACUUAAGAAGGUUUCUAAGCCCAUUUUCAACAUUUAUGACAUGUGGAAUGGUCUGCAAAGAAUCGAGGUUAAAUAAGCGAUUACAUUCUCAUAUUGGUCAUUCCAG